This 47-nucleotide non-coding RNA is filed under the name Methylophaga thalassica MP. RNAcentral describes it as "Methylophaga aminisulfidivorans MP Guanidine-II riboswitch aptamer (mini-ykkC)". It matches the Rfam family "Guanidine-II riboswitch aptamer (mini-ykkC)". Rfam says of the family: Simpler in structure and has fewer highly conserved nucleotide positions than the ykkC-yxkD leader. Despite this each of its two stem-loop structures directly bind free guanidine. Therefore, mini-ykkC RNA motif represents a distinct class of guanidine-sensing RNAs. The record is from Rfam by way of RNAcentral. Lineage: Bacteria; Pseudomonadati; Pseudomonadota; Gammaproteobacteria; Thiotrichales; Piscirickettsiaceae.
UUCUGAGGACGACCUUGAAAACCAUUUAACUAGCGGGGACGACCCCA